Long non-coding RNA from Hermetia illucens (black soldier fly), 664 nucleotides. RefSeq lists it as uncharacterized. NCBI's taxonomy places the organism in Eukaryota, Metazoa, Arthropoda, Insecta, Diptera, Stratiomyidae. The transcript has 3 exons. The record is from RefSeq and is a predicted model, not a curated record.
UAUAAAUAUAAAUUGAAGUGUCGGUGAAAGGUGAAACUGGAUGCUUCCUCCUAGACAGUGUGCGCGACAACAAACGAUUGAAUUCGUCGUCUUUGCCGAAACUUUUGUGAAAGGAUCUUGGUUUACCUCCUUUCAAGGUUCAACUUGUGCAUGAAUUGAAGCAACAUGAUCAUUGUUUGGGCAGUAUUUUUUUCUAAAUGGGCUUAAGGAAUUACUGUCAUUGCAUCACAAUUUCGUUUAAACGUUUUGUUGAUUGAUGAAGCACUGGAGGGGACAAUAAUCCACAAAUCAUUUUCGAACAUUACGACAUCAAGAAAAAAUCCCCGGUUGGUGCGCGUCCGCAGUAAUCUAAUAGGCAGUACACACAUUAAAAAGUAUGGACAGGCGAGCGUAUUAGGAAAGCUUAUCCCUUUACAUCACUGGGCCUCAACUAUCGCACAGGUAGAUACUACUAGAUGUUUAGGGAUAGUCCUUACAUUUUAGUAUGGGUAUUACCUAUUAGAUAUAUUGGGGCUAGGACGUUACAAUCAACGGCAUGCGAUUUCAGUAAAACGCCGCCACACAGGGCGAUACGAGUAACUUACUCAAAGAAACCUUUGAAGGACGAUAAAUUCCGCAUGUCUAUGCCGACAAACCAGACGCAAAUGAGCACUUGGAAGCCAAC